GAUCCUGGCUUAGGAUGAACGCUAGCGACAGGCCUAACACAUGCAAGUCGAGGGGCAGCGCGGGAGAAGCUUGCUUUCCUGGCGGCGACCGGCGCACGGGUGCGUAACAGGUGUGCAAUCUGUCCAUAGUCGGGGGAUAGCCCAGCGAAAGCUGAAUUAAUACUCCAUGUGAAUCGAAGCCGCAUGACUUUGAUUUGAAACGCAAGGACUAUGGGUGAGCACGCUUCUGAUUAGGUAGUUGGUGGGGUAACGGCCCACCAAGCCGACGAUCAGUAGGGUUCUGAGAGGAAGGUCCCCCACAUUGGAACUGAGACACGGUCCAAACUCCUACGGGAGGCAGCAGUGAGGAAUAUUGGUCAAUGGGCGAGAGCCUGAACCAGCCAAGUCGCGUGAAGGAUGAAGGUUCUAUGGAUUGUAAACUUCUUUUGUCCGAGGGUAAAGGAGGCUACGUGUAGCUUUUUGCAAGUAUCGGACGAAUAAGCAUCGGCUAACUCCGUGCCAGCCGCCGC
This 509-nucleotide ribosomal RNA is filed under the name uncultured bacterium. RNAcentral's name for it is "bacterial SSU rRNA". It matches the Rfam family "Bacterial small subunit ribosomal RNA", at positions 15 to 518 of the family's 1533-position model. The record is from RNAcentral.